Long non-coding RNA from Passer domesticus (house sparrow), 3912 nucleotides. RefSeq lists it as uncharacterized. The record is from RefSeq and is a predicted model, not a curated record. Lineage: Eukaryota; Metazoa; Chordata; Aves; Passeriformes; Passeridae. The transcript is spliced from 3 exons.
AAAGCUGUGCCCCUGUAGUGCAAUUCUACCUGCUCAGCCAGCUCCUGAGUGGUGUGCAAGCCAUCACCCUGCAGCACCCAGCUGGGGUUAACAUCUAAUGGGGCUGAUCUCUCAGUGGGUGUGUUUCUGCUCUCUGCUGUAAGCUGAGAUCAGUCUCCCAGUGCUCUUUUCAGCUGUGAAGUCAUUUCACUGAUCAGGUUUCAGUCAUGAUGGGUUCUGCUACUCAUGUUACAGAAGCAGUAAUGUAUUUAACUCCCAGAUUCUGUCCAUGUCUCUGAAGACAGAGUAUCUGUCACCAUCAAACACAACCACCUCAUCUUCCCUCCUACCAGUGAAGCUCUGUGGGCUCCUGCAAGCAGCCCUCAUUCCAUGCCUGACCAUCUUACUGAAGUGCUUCAGAGUCAGAAGCACAAAAUGCAAGGAUAAGUACAUGGAUAAAAGUAGCAAAAUUUCUUCUUGGCAGCAAAAUUUUUUUCUGAGAACGCAUCUUCCAGAACUAAAAAUAGUUCAUCCUAGAAUGGACAUGAGGACUGUCUGAAAUGAAAAUGAAAAUGACUAAUGCAAGCAAAGGGGAGAUGUUUUUAUUUCAGGUGGGGAAGCAGAGGGAAGUAUGGUAAACACUGGUCUACAACCUUCUGAAAAUUGUGUUUGAUUUUUUUAAAUUGUAUAUAAAUCUCAGCAGGAACAGGUUCAGAGAAAGACUACAACUAUGACCACAACAACUGAAUUCUUGUCUCAUGGAAUUAGAGCAAAAAAUUUGAGUUCAUUUUGCAAGUCAGAAAAAUUAAAAGGGGAGUUUUGAGGACCACCAGAAGUAAGAAGAUAUAGUUUAGCUGGAGGGAAGUGCUGUACAAAGAGCAAUGGAUCCAUAACUGGCAAUGAACUCAGUCUGGGAAUGUGUUCUGUCAUCUGAGGCAGUGGACCCCAACUUUAUACAGAACUGCCGCAUCAAGUCUGACUCUGGUUUCAUGAAGAGAUGAAUUUUUAUGAAGGGAAAGGACAGGUGAAUGCCACUGUGUUUUUCCCAAGAGGCGCCUCUCCUGCAAAGACCACAGAGUUCUUUGCUCCCACAUGUAGAUGGCUGCUUGAAAGGAAAACCUCUCUGCUUCUCUGGGCAAUGAAUACUUCCACCAGAAAAAACCACUGUAUUUGUUUGAAACAAACCCAUGUAAGAAAAGGAAAUCCUGAGAGACUCAGAACCAUCAAGAUCAGGAGUUUUCUUUGCAAUUGUUCAAUUCUAGGCAUUUAGGACUGCUAAAUGUGGGUAUCAAAGGAAAAAAAAAAAAAGAAAAGAAAAUACUCAAUAGCUUGUUGAUCAUUAAAGAAUACAAUAGGUAGUGGAGUGAGUUAGAAAAAAAAUCAUAUAAGCAUACAUAAUCACUGCUACUUCUUUCUAUAUGUCAGUCUCUGAGAAUGGUGCAUCUCCACCUCCCAAUGAACAUAGUAUUUGAGCUGUCACUGUACUGAAUAGAAAUUCUGAGCAAGGUGUCAAAGCACAGUGUUGAAAAAUCUAUUUUGCAAGUGAGAAGGAAUGAUUUUUGUAGAUGUACAGUAAAAAUUACUCUUCAGUCAAUUCACACACAACCUCAUUUCCAAAACACUAUAGUAAAAGCCAUGUAUUGUUACAGGUAAAGGAAUUCCUGUUCUCUACCAUAACUUUCCUUUGCUAAGCAUUAAUUGAGAAAAAUAUAUAUAAUUAUGAUUAUAUAUGCACAAACACAGAAAAGAAGCAAUACAAUAUCUUAGAACAGAGGUCAUUUGCUGACUUUAAUAAACUUUCUGAGCCACAUAAUCAAAACCGGUUGCAUUCCAUAGAACAUACUCUAAACAAAUGCAGAAUAUGUCUAUAAAAAAUACACUUUGAAAGCAGGUCAAAACAUAUCACACUGCUGACUUUCAAAGCUCCAUUACUGCAAAAGAGAUACAGAAACAUGCUAAAGCAUUGUCCUGACUGAUUCCCUGUGCAGAGCUUAGCUUAAAGUUUAUUGCUUAGGUAGAACAGAAAGAUCAAACCCAAAGUGUAGGACAUGAACAUUACUUUUCUCCCUCUCCUGAGCCAGACAGAAAGAUCAAAUUCUUUUAUUUACUAUAAAUGAAGUUCAACACAGACCAUGGCUUCUCUUUUUGUGCAUAGAUUUUUCUGCUUCUGUCACCAAGCACAAUGUGGCAGGACUGAACAUUCAAAAGAAAGGAAUUUUCAAGUUGUAAGAAAGAGUGCAUUCAGUCCCAGCAGUCUUUAAUGUCACACAUCUCUGGCUUGACUGGUCAGGGUUGUUUUAUGUCCCAGCAGUUUUCAGGAAAUACCAGGUCUGACCUUACUGCAGCUUCCAUUUGCACUGACAAACUCCUCACAGGACAUAACCUGUUUUCUGUGUAGUAAGAAGUAAAAUAAACUGCAUCUGGACCAAGGUAGUAGGUGUGUUGUGAGUUUAUUUAAAACUGACCUUUAGCCCCUGGCAGGAGUUUCUCAGGCUCUGAGGAGUUAUAUCAGGAAUGGACUUCUAUAAAGCAAAAGGGAAAGUAAUUUAGAAAUAUGGCAGUGUCAUGGUGCUGGCCAGGUUCUGAAGCCACAACUGCAUUUGGAAUAGUGUGCCCUGAAUUAACAAACUCUCUGGCAGCUGGCUAUUGAAGGUGAUUAACAGCUGUUUUAUGGGUUGUCUGCUUCAUUCCGUGCAUAUGUGUGCUGAGGGGCUGCUGAAGUGAUGUAGGAGAAUAAAUAAAUAAAGUCUCUGGGACUGGGAAGAAAUCAUCCUCUGUUGUGUUUUAAGGGAACCUGAAAUUCACGUAACAUUUUGAUCAAUUACUUUAAAUGUGCUUCAAAAGAAUUAAAAUGCCCACCCUUUAAAGUGGCCUUUAGUGUGACAAAUCUAAUGACAUGGCAAUAAACCAGAAAAUUGUGACUUUGUUGUUCUGCUGUUUUAUUGUUCAGCAGAGAAAAUGCUGAUGAGCACAAGAAUGCAUAAAAGAGACUGAAGAAUCUUGGCUGAGCCUCCAUUCAUAAAGCUUUAUUGAAAUACAAACAUGUCAUGGAAGUACAAAGCCAGCUAAAAUAUCUAAAACAGGUAGACUGAGACAAAGUAAUUUCACUGGAUACUAUCUAGCACUGCUAACUAACAUGGCUGAAGAAUUGGAGUUUCAGUUCACCUGCACAUAGGCGUUAACUGCUUUCUUCUCUUACCAGGGGUCUGUCAGCUGUGCAAUGAAAAUUAAUUGAACUCCCAAGAUUCCUAAACACAGCUUCUCUGGUUUUGUUCUUUUCCUCACUUACUCUUCAGUACAAGUAAGGAUGAAAUUGGGCAGGGGGAAUUGGUUGCCAGCAAAUGGUUUUUAUUCAAGAACUUCUUUCUUAAAAGGUAGAUUUCUAUAUUUUUUCCUAGUUUCUCUUCUUUCAAUGUGAGAUGCUGACAUCUGUUACUCUUGCCUUAGACUUAAAAAAAAAAGCUAUUAUUUUGUAAAGAGUUUUCAUUCACUGUAAUUUGCACUUAAGCAUUCAGCUUGUUAUAAAAGAUCUACUGUCAGGAAACUGAAAUUAUUCCUUUUUUUCUAAGAAAUACAGACUGACUCAAGCUAAACGUAUUUUAGGGAAAAUGCAUUCUCUUUCUUCUUUUGUCCAGUUUGAUCCUGUGGGUCAGAACUGCUGUAAAUUUCUCUUUGAAAAUUAUUUUAUCAUCAUUAAUUAUCAAAACAUGUGCACAUAGUAGCCAACCCAGACAGAAAUAUAAUCUCUGUAAAUUCCACAGCCUGCUCUAUUUUCUUCAGAAAUCUAAUCCAAAAAGUCUCAACUCAUUUCAUUUAUCCCAUUGUACAUGGGAUAAACUCUUGUUAUCCCCACGUUCUUGCAAGGAAAAGUUCCUUUUACCAUGUUGUUUAUUUAUUUAUUUGUUUGUUUUGCUAUUAUUUAAUUUCAAAGGA